UUUUUAGCUCACCUGGCCUAAAAGGCCAUGUGAGCUUUUCUCAUCACUUGGCGUCCGUCGUCGUCGUCGUCGUCGUCGUCGUCUGUCGUCGUUAACAAUUUUUCAAACAUCUUCUCCUCUGAAACUACUGAAUAGAUUUGAAUGAAACUUAAAAUCAUUGUUCCUUAGAUUAUCCUGCACAAAGUGUGUGCUUCGAUUUUUGAUCCGUCAAAAAACAUGGCCGCCGUUACUUAAAAUAGAACAUAGGGGUUAAAUGCAGUUUUUGGCUUAUAUCUCAAAAACGGAAGCAUUUAGAGCAAAUCUGACAUGGAGAAAAAUGUUCAUUAGGUCAAGAUCUAUCAGCCCAGAAAUUUUCAGAUGAAUCAAACAAACCAUUGUUGGGUUGCUGCCACUUAAUUGGUAAUUUUAAGGAAAUUUUGCAGUUUUUGGUCAUUAUCUUGAAUAUUAUUAUAGAUGAAGAUAAACUGUAAACAGCAAAAAUGAUCAGCAAAGUAAAUCUACAAAUAGGUUAAUAUGACCAAAAUUGUCAAUUGACCCCUUAAGGGUAAAUGUCCUUUAAUGACAAUUUUUCACAAUUUGUUCAUCAUAUUUGCUAACUUUAAAAAAUCUUCUCUGAAACUACUGAAUGGAUUUGGAUGAAACUUACCCGUGCUUGCAUUUCCUAUCAUGAUUUUCUUGAUAGAGGGUUACUGCUCACAAGGAAGCUAUUAAACCAAGAGUUCCAAAUGGUGAAGUUGAAAUCAUCCUUCGUAAAUUUACGGACGCCAUCACGAGUUGGUUGACCGUUAUGGAAUAACCGUUUCACAAAUGAUAUCGGAUAUGUUCCUUACGUCGUAACUACAAUCCCCUUCCCUUUCAUGAAUGUGACCUACCGAAUUAGACUAUUUAACAGAUUUGUAAUCACAUAAGCAACACACGGGUGCCACAUGUGGAGCAGGAUCUGCUUACCCUUCCGGAGCACCUGAGAUCACCCCUAGUUUUUGGUGGGGUUCGUGUUGUUUAUUCUUUAGUUUUCUAUGUUGUGUCAUGUGUGCUGUUUUUUUCUGUUUGUCUUUUUCAUUUUUAGCCAUGGCGUUGUCAGUUUGUUUUAAGAUUUAUGAGUUUGACUGUCCCUUUGGUAUCUUUCGUCCCUCUUUUAGCAUGAUAGUUCCUUAGAUUAUCCUGCACAAAGUGUGUGCUUCGAUUUUUUGAUCCGUCAAAAAACAUGGCCGCCGUUACUUAAAAUAGAACAUAGGGGUCAAAUGCAGUUUUUGGCUUAUAUCUCAAAAACGAAAGCAUUUAGAGCAAAUCUGACAGGGGUAAACAUUUUAUUAGGUCAAGAUCUAUCAGCCCUGAAAUUUUCAGACAAAUCAAACAAACCAUUGUUGGGUUGCUGCCACUUAAUUGGUAAUUUUAAGGAAAUUUUGCAGUUUUUGGUCAUUAUGCUGAAUAUCAUUAUAGAUAAAGAUAAACUGUAAACAGCAAAAAUGAUCAGCAAAGUAAGAUCUACAAAUAGGUUAAUAUGACCAAAAUUGUCAAUUGACCCCUUAAGGGGUAAAUGUCCUUUAAUGACAAUUUUUCACAAUUUGUUCAUCAUAUUUGCUAACUUUAAAAAAUCUUCUCCUCUGAAACUACUGAAUGGAUUUGGAUGAAACUUAGCAUGAUAGUUCCUUAGAUUAUCCUGCACAAAGUGUGUGCUUCGAUUUUUGAUCCGUCAAAAAACAUGGCCGCCCUUACUUUAAAUAGAACAAAGGGGUCAAAUGCAGUUUUUGGCUUAUAUCUCAAAAACGAAAGCAUUUAGAGCAAAUCUGACAUAGGGUAAAAAUGUUCAUUAGGUCAAGAUCUAUCAGCCCUGAAAUUUUCAGACGAAUCAAACAAACCAUUGUUGGGUUGCUGCCACUUAAUUGGUAAAUUUUAAGGAAAUUUUUGCAGUUUUUGGUCAUUAUGUUGAAUAUCAUUAUAGAUAAAGAUAAACUGUAAACAGCAAAAAUGAUCAGCAAAGUAAGAUCUACAAAUAGGUUAA
RNAcentral lists this long non-coding RNA (2002 nucleotides) under Mytilus galloprovincialis (Mediterranean mussel). Lineage: Eukaryota; Metazoa; Mollusca; Bivalvia; Mytilida; Mytilidae. The record is from RNAcentral.